CGGGGAGUGGCGCAGCCUGGUAGCGCGCCUGCUUUGGGAGCAGGAUGUCGCAGGUUCGAAUCCUGUCUCCCCGACCA
Molecule: transfer RNA, 77 nt
Filed under: Acidithiobacillus caldus
Lineage: Bacteria; Pseudomonadati; Pseudomonadota; Acidithiobacillia; Acidithiobacillales; Acidithiobacillaceae
Also listed under: 4 other names
Description: tRNA-Pro
Rfam family: tRNA
About the family: Transfer RNA (tRNA) molecules are approximately 80 nucleotides in length.
Source: RNAcentral